RNAcentral lists this ribosomal RNA (483 nucleotides) under uncultured bacterium. Its description in RNAcentral is "partial 16S ribosomal RNA". It matches the Rfam family "Bacterial small subunit ribosomal RNA", at positions 28 to 507 of the family's 1533-position model. The record is from RNAcentral.
GACGAACGCUGGCGGCGUGCUUAACACAUGCAAGUCGAACGCUGAAGCUCAGCUUUUGUUGGGUGGAUGAGUGGCGAACGGGUGAGUAACACGUGAGUAACCUGCCCCCUUCUUUGGGAUAACGCCCGGAAACGGGUGCUAAUACUGGAUAUUCACUGGUCUUCGCAUGGGGGUUGGUGGAAAGGGUUUUUCUGGUGGGGGAUGGGCUCGCGGCCUAUCAGCUUGUUGGUGGGGUGAUGGCCUACCAAGGCUUUGACGGGUAGCCGGCCUGAGAGGGUGACCGGUCACAUUGGGACGGGGAUACGGCCCAGACUCCUACGGGAGGCAGCAGUGGGGAAUAUUGCACAAUGGGCGCAAGCCUGAUGCAGCGACGCCGCGUGAGGGAUGGAGGCCUUCGGGUUGUGAACCUCUUUCGCUCAUGGUCAAGCCGCAACAAUGGUUGUGGUGAGGGUAGUGGGUAAAGAAGCGCCGGCUAACUACGUG